RNAcentral lists this unclassified non-coding RNA (192 nucleotides) under uncultured fungus. Its description in RNAcentral is "partial contains 5.8S ribosomal RNA, internal transcribed spacer 2, and large subunit ribosomal RNA". The record is from RNAcentral. Lineage: Eukaryota; Fungi.
AACGCAACUUGCGCCUGCUUCUGGCAGGCAUGCUUGUUUGAGAAUCUAUCUACUUUUCUCUAGGAGAGAGUUGGCCGACGCUGUGAGCACGGCUUAAAAGAACUGCAUGGGCAGAGCGUCGAAGGCUUGGCCGCUUCCUCUGCCCUGACCACCAAAGAUCUCAAAUCAAGCAGGAGGACCCGCUGAACUUAA